Cottoperca gobio is the source of this 1749-nucleotide long non-coding RNA. RefSeq lists it as uncharacterized. The transcript has 7 exons. The record is from RefSeq and is a predicted model, not a curated record. Lineage: Eukaryota; Metazoa; Chordata; Actinopteri; Perciformes; Bovichtidae.
CUGAACUCAAUUGAAGCACACUGUUUAAUUCCGUCGUUGUGGUGAAUUUAUCAGCGUGUUGGCCUACAAACACACAGCCAAAAAACAACAACAAAUGAGGUUAGUUAUGCAGCUUUAGUGUCAAAAAAGCGUUCAUGUCUUAAAUCUGGAAAACAACAUUGAAAACUGCUGAUAAAGAGCAACAGACGCCUGACCAAAACAAACUUUCCAAGUAACUCCAAUUAGCAACACCUGUGUCAUUCAGGCACACUGGGCUAACCUCCAUAAACAUGUUGAUUCCUCGAAGAGGUAAAAAGGACAUAAGGUGAGGGUUCCAUGGAAAAGAUGACUGGAAGGAUACAAAGGUGAUCUCUUUUGAAAGUGCUGAAUCAGCAGAGCCUAUGAUAGGCUAGCUGGAUACUUUGUCUUGCUUGUGACCUUCACAGCUCUUCUGAUGUCCAUAACAAAUUGCCCCAGGGUAUCAGCAUGAUCAUGCAGUGACAGCACAGGAAUAACAACAAGGCUUGGAGAAGGCCGCCCCCUGCCGCCACUGAGGACAACUACACUAAUACAGACAAGAGCGCCUCAACAGUUACACACUCAAGAGUUGGGGUUUUGCCGUAUGCAACUAGCUACCAUCUCCAACGCUUGUGCAAAACAGAAAAGAAGACUGGUAAGUCAGGAGCCGGACACAAGGGUGAACGGUGUGCCGAGAGCUGGAGAGACCCGGGACGAUGGAAAGAGGACGGAGGGUCGGAUCACCUCGCCCACAGAGUCCUCUCACCUCGACACACUGAGCAGGGGGACUGAAGUAUGCCAAUAUGGCCAGCUUUCAAGCAAUCACCCCUUGAAGCUCUCCCUGUGGUGAAGCUGAGGGAUCCCCGCAUUGCACUGUGGGAAACUCCAAACUCAGCCCCGAACCACCCUUCAGAUAUCUUCAGGUAAACUAGUCUAUGCAGCAGAGUGGAUGAGGAAAACAAAAUAUUUCUUGGGGAAGAGGAAGCAGAAAAAAAAGUCAAGGAAGAAGUCAUCAUCUUUGAAAGGCGGAGGGAGGAAGUCACAUGAUGAAAAAAGAUGGGGACAGGUCUUCGCUCAGGCACGGCUCGGUUUCUGAUGGGGUCUUUUCCCAGUGCGCCCUGGGAAGUGCGGUCCUCAGCUCUCCAGACUCAUGAAGGCCACCACCUGCUCCAGCUUGAAGGCCAGCCUCUGUUUCCGGGCUGCAUCGUCCUGCUCCAGUGAACACACAAUCUGCCAGCCGGACAGAGAGCUGCAGCCGCUCGAGGACAGGCCCGGGGUUUGGCUGGAUAAUUCUGGGCAUGUGUGAAGGAGAGAUGGAUUUGCCAGGACGCAAGUCUACAGAGCAAACUGAGCAAAGGAGAAGCAGAGAAGCUCUGAAGAAGCAGCAGCAGAGAUUUCCUGCCAUUAGUCUGCUCUCCAGGUAACGACGUCCUAUCCUGACAAUUAGGCUGUGGCAUAAAGGAUAGAGAGGUCUCUUCUGUCUUUGCCCACUUCCCUUUGCUGUCUUCUUUCAUAGCUGCAGCCUCCGCCUUUUAAAUCCUUUCCCUGGCAUGACCCCUACUUUGGCACGGUUGGACAGCAGAGUGAAGCGGCACUAGUACUCAGUCACUACUAUAUUACUGAGGCUUUUCCACUGUGGGGUGCUGACACUAUUGCUCCACCAAACUUGCAAUAAAGGCAAGUUAAUGACACGAGUGCAGUGGGAUGUUUCUUUUUACAGCUAUCAACACAAGUAUGUGUGUCUCAGAUACU